Grus americana (Whooping crane) is the source of this 574-nucleotide long non-coding RNA. RefSeq lists it as uncharacterized. Lineage: Eukaryota; Metazoa; Chordata; Aves; Gruiformes; Gruidae. The transcript has 4 exons. The record is from RefSeq and is a predicted model, not a curated record.
CGCUCCGCGCCGCGGCGGCGGAGCGACCCGCCGCUCUCCCCGACCGCCCGUAUACCAUUCACAAUAUGCCUUCCACAGUUUGUUCAGUCCUGGACCACCAUGAAAAACUAUGCGAAAAACGGAGUUAGUCUAUCACAUCGUAAACGAUCUUUUAAUUAAAUGGGUACCCAAACAGGCCUGCAGACUGGAAGGUGCCAAUUCAGUGGGACACAGGCAGUACCAGUUCUGCACCACAAUGGCCACCUAAGGAAGGAGGUGAAGAGAUCAGCAGUUGGAGAUGCAGGUGGGAUCAGAAAGCUUCUUGCUGCAGCCGUCUUGAAGAGGCUUAGGUUGGGCUGUUACAGAUGAAAGUCUGUAUUGGCAAAAUGCCAGAACCACGGGAAGCAAACCAGAGGACUGGAGGCACAGGAGCUGAUAAGAAUGGAGCACACUUCUUCCAAGGAUAGCUGAUUUUUUUUUUUAAUAAUUUUCCUCUUUUGGCUUUUAGUCAAAGUUGUAAUUGCUGCUUCCAAGACUUAAAGUAGAAAUUCUGCACUGCUCCACAGCUUUUCCCAAAUACUGUAAGAAUACAAAA